UACGUAGGGGGCAAGCGUUGUCCGGAAUCAUUGGGCGUAAAGCGCGUGUAGGCGGCUCGAUAAGUCUGCUGUGAAAGUCCAGGGCUCAACCCUGGGAUGCCGGUGGAUACUGUCGAGCUCGAGUCCGGAAGAGGAGUGUGGAAUUCCCGGUGUAGCGGUGAAAUGCGUAGAUAUUGGGAAGAACACCGGUGGCGAAGGCGGCUCACUGGACCGGUUCUGACGCUGAGGCGCGAAAGCGUGGGGAGCAAACGGG
This 253-nucleotide ribosomal RNA is filed under the name uncultured bacterium. RNAcentral describes it as "partial 16S ribosomal RNA". It matches the Rfam family "Bacterial small subunit ribosomal RNA", at positions 524 to 776 of the family's 1533-position model. The record is from RNAcentral.